This 222-nucleotide ribosomal RNA is filed under the name Salmonella enterica subsp. enterica serovar Infantis. RNAcentral's name for it is "partial 16S ribosomal RNA". The record is from RNAcentral. Lineage: Bacteria; Pseudomonadati; Pseudomonadota; Gammaproteobacteria; Enterobacterales; Enterobacteriaceae.
AAAUUGAAGAGUUUGAUCAUGGCUCAGAUUGAACGCUGGCGGCAGGCCUAACACAUGCAAGUCGAACGGUAACAGGAAGCAGCUUGCUGCUUYGCUGACGAGUGGCGGACGGGUGAGUAAUGUCUGGGAAACUGCCUGAUGGAGGGGGAUAACUACUGGAAACGGUGGCUAAUACCGCAUAACGUCGCAAGACCAAAGAGGGGGACCUUCGGGCCUCUUGCC